GGCAGAAUUCACACUGAAGCUGUCGUCCUGCGUACAUACCAUCGUCCGUUAAACAGAGAAAGAGCUGCUUGGCAUUCUUCUUCCGACUGGUACUGAACAUAUAUACUUGCCCCUCAGAGACGGGGUUUCAACAUGUUGACCAGGAUGGUCUCGAUCUCUUGACCUCGUGAUUCGCCCGCCGCGUCCUCCCAAAGUGCUGGGAUUACAGGCCUGAGCCACCGCGCCCAGUCUCUCCCCACGUUCUUGAACUCGGGCAGCACAUCCUCACAGAAAUCUAGGAACUGUUGUUGUCGUGGACCCCCAGGUUGCAAGUUACAUACCCUGGGCAUGUCCAGAUGAACGAAGCGUGCAAAUCCACGUGGAACCUAAGUGCUCAGACCGAGGAACAGGGACUGAGUUAAGAAGUGGACACCACGUGGCAUGAUCCUUGAUCCAAUCAGAUUGAGCCCUGGCGUGAUCCAGUCAGAUCAAGCCUCCUGAAUCCCCUCAUUACAAGAUCCAAUCAUAUCAUGCCUCACUACCCUCUGUAUAUAAAAUCUGCCCCAGCCUCCAACUUGGAGAGACAGAUUUGGGCCAGACUCCUGUGUCCUUGCUUGGCUGCCUUGCAAUAAAUUUUUCUCUCUAC
Molecule: long non-coding RNA, 625 nt
Filed under: Homo sapiens (human)
Lineage: Eukaryota; Metazoa; Chordata; Mammalia; Primates; Hominidae
Description: HSALNT0255254
Source: RNAcentral